RNAcentral lists this ribosomal RNA (554 nucleotides) under uncultured bacterium. RNAcentral describes it as "bacterial SSU rRNA". It matches the Rfam family "Bacterial small subunit ribosomal RNA", at positions 777 to 1322 of the family's 1533-position model. The record is from RNAcentral.
AAUAGAUACCCCGGUAGUCCACGCCGUAAACGAUGAGUGCUAAGUGUUAGGGGGGUUUCCGCCCCUUAGUGCUGCAGCUAACGCAUUAAGCACUCCGCCUGGGGAGUACGGUCGCAAGACUGAAACUCAAAGGAAUUGACGGGGGCCCGCACAAGCGGUGGAGCAUGUGGUUUAAUUCGAAGCAACGCGAAGAACCUUACCAGGUCUUGACAUCCCACUGACCGCUAUGGAGACAUAGUUUUCCCUUCGGGGACAGUGGUGACAGGUGGUGCAUGGUUGUCGUCAGCUCGUGUCGUGAGAUGUUGGGUUAAGUCCCGCAACGAGCGCAACCCUUGAUCUUAGUUGCCAUCAUUUAGUUGGGCACUCUAAGGUGACUGCCGGUGACAAACCGGAGGAAGGUGGGGAUGACGUCAAAUCAUCAUGCCCCUUAUGACCUGGGCUACACACGUGCUACAAUGGACGGUACAAACGGUUGCCAACCCGCGAGGGGGGUAGCUAAUCCCGGAUAAAAACCGGUUCUCAGUUCGGAUUGUAGGCUGCAACUCGCCUACAGU